Lycium barbarum (goji berry) is the source of this 108-nucleotide small nuclear RNA. The record is from RefSeq and is a predicted model, not a curated record. Lineage: Eukaryota; Viridiplantae; Streptophyta; Magnoliopsida; Solanales; Solanaceae.
GUCCCUCCAGAGACAUAUGAUAAAAUUGGAACGAUAAAGAUAAGAUUAGCAUCGCCCAUGUGCAAGAAUGACACACAGAGAUCGAGAAAUGGCUCAUUGGAAAUUCAU